Molecule: non-coding RNA, 134 nt
Filed under: Thalassionema nitzschioides
Lineage: Eukaryota; Bacillariophyta; Fragilariophyceae; Thalassionematales; Thalassionemataceae
Source: RNAcentral
UGGCUGCGAAAUGCAAAGACACAUGCAAUGCGUGCAGUUACUUCGAAGAAACUAAACAUAACGGGUUCGUCUCCCGCAACAUCACACUCUAGGCUCCUAGAUACUAAAAAGAGAAAGUAAUAACACAUAGAAGC